This 146-nucleotide ribosomal RNA is filed under the name Alligator mississippiensis (American alligator). RNAcentral's name for it is "5.8S ribosomal RNA". It matches the Rfam family "5.8S ribosomal RNA". From Rfam's summary of the family: 5.8S ribosomal RNA (5.8S rRNA) is a component of the large subunit of the eukaryotic ribosome. Lineage: Eukaryota; Metazoa; Chordata; Crocodylia; Alligatoridae. The record is from Rfam by way of RNAcentral.
AACUCUUAGCAGUGGAUCGCUUGGCUUGUGUAUCGAUAAAGAAUGCAGCUAGCUGCAAGAAUUAAUGCGACUUGCAGGACACAUUGAUCACUUUGAAUGUACUUGUGGCCCCUGCUCCUCCUGGGGAUACACCUGUCUGAGCAUCA